Metopolophium dirhodum (rose-grain aphid) is the source of this 399-nucleotide long non-coding RNA. RefSeq lists it as uncharacterized. The transcript is spliced from 3 exons. The record is from RefSeq and is a predicted model, not a curated record. Lineage: Eukaryota; Metazoa; Arthropoda; Insecta; Hemiptera; Aphididae.
AACACGUCCGUACUACCCGAUAGCCAGUGGUAAAUGUUUUUGAAACGCGAUUGUCGUUAUUUGUUUGAACGUCUUCAUCCCUCCGGCUGGAAGGUACAAACGUUCAACGGAAUUAUUUAUGCUUUCGAUACGGUUUGAAGCUGCUAUAAAUAUUCGGUUGACAUAAAUGUGUAAGCUUCAUCGACCAUGCGAAGACCGAAGAGUCCAUGUGCAGAAAUAUGAUGAGUGUAUAUUGUACAUUUAAAUAUCAGUACCUGUGCCUACUUGAUUGGUUAAACCAGCAUUCAUUGCAGCGUGUACUGCAGUAAGAAAACGUACGAUAAGAGAAUGUCCAGUUGUAGCGUCUCUAAAAGCUUCGAUGUUACACUAUGCGAAGAGUAUUUAAGUGGAAAUGGGAGG